AGUUAAAACAAAAGUAAAAAUUAUGUUUUGAAAACAUAAGUGAGGGGUUAAAUUCCCCUUUUAACUU
This 67-nucleotide transfer RNA is filed under the name Perisphaerus sp. 3 ZQW-2023b. Its description in RNAcentral is "tRNA-Ser". It matches the Rfam family "tRNA". Rfam says of the family: Transfer RNA (tRNA) molecules are approximately 80 nucleotides in length. The record is from RNAcentral. Lineage: Eukaryota; Metazoa; Arthropoda; Insecta; Blattodea; Blaberidae.